CAGUCGCCGCGGUAAUACGAAGGGGGCUAGCGUUGUUCGGAUUUACUGGGCGUAAAGCGCACGUAGGCGGAUCGAUCAGUCAGGGGUGAAAUCCCAGAGCUCAACUCUGGAACUGCCUUUGAUACUGUCGAUCUGGAGUAUGGAAGAGGUGAGUGGAAUUCCGAGUGUAGAGGUGAAAUUCGUAGAUAUUCGGAGGAACACCAGUGGCGAAGGCGGCUCACUGGUCCAUUACUGACGCUGAGGUGCGAAAGCGUGGGGAGCAAACAGGAUUAGAUACCCCGGUAGUCCCUGUCUCUUAUAU
RNAcentral lists this ribosomal RNA (301 nucleotides) under uncultured bacterium. RNAcentral describes it as "partial 16S ribosomal RNA". It matches the Rfam family "Bacterial small subunit ribosomal RNA", at positions 509 to 809 of the family's 1533-position model. The record is from RNAcentral.